GUUCAAGUCGUUCGGUCUAUUAGGAUGCCUCAGCUGCAUACAUUACUGCACUUCCACUUGGCAACUAUCGUAAUGAUUAACGGCUCGUCUCGCCUCGACCUUA
This 103-nucleotide ribosomal RNA is filed under the name Selenicereus undatus. RNAcentral's name for it is "4.5S ribosomal RNA". Lineage: Eukaryota; Viridiplantae; Streptophyta; Magnoliopsida; Caryophyllales; Cactaceae. The record is from RNAcentral.